AAAAAUUGGGGGUUCUGAAGGCACUUGCUUUUAAUCCCACGCAACCAAAAUUCUCGAGGAACACAACUCGCAAAAUUUGACCAAUUUGUUUGAAUUUCGAUGGAACAAAAAAUAAGUUUCAGUAGUGAAAAUCGCAAUGUGAUAAGCUUGUUCGUUCCGUUCGCUGCACGAAAACAGGGGCGAGACCUCGUAAUUUUACAUUCUUCUUUGCUACAAUUUGAUGUUGCAACAUGAAUACCACGGUAUCGAUGAAUUUGAAGGCCAAUAUUUGAGCUUUAUGUGUUGUUUCUAUUACUGGAUGUUAAAGAUUCGGCCUUAUCGAAAUACACUCGUGGAAAAUCUUCUGGCUUUGUUAUUUCACAGAAUUGUUUGUCGCUGUUUCAUCUUAUAAAGUUAUAACCAUUGUUAUCAUUAUGGUUAUUUUGUUUAUACUAGAGAAGCAAAAUUC
Molecule: long non-coding RNA, 448 nt
Filed under: Capsicum annuum
Lineage: Eukaryota; Viridiplantae; Streptophyta; Magnoliopsida; Solanales; Solanaceae
Description: long non-coding RNA (CANN_LNC012539)
Source: RNAcentral